This 119-nucleotide ribosomal RNA is filed under the name Lepisosteus oculatus (spotted gar). Lineage: Eukaryota; Metazoa; Chordata; Actinopteri; Semionotiformes; Lepisosteidae. The record is from RNAcentral.
GCCAGCAGCCAUAUCACUCUGCAACUCCCAGCUGGCUGCCCCCUGAAGCUCAGCAGGUGUGAGCCUGGUCAGUACCUGGAUAGGAGACCCCCUGGGAAAAACUAAGGCUGCUGCUGGAA